Molecule: unclassified non-coding RNA, 712 nt
Filed under: Hevea brasiliensis (rubber tree)
Lineage: Eukaryota; Viridiplantae; Streptophyta; Magnoliopsida; Malpighiales; Euphorbiaceae
Source: RNAcentral
AUGAUGAAGAGCCUUGUUCUCUUUGUGUCAAUAGCACUCUGUGUUCCCUUAGCUUUGUCAUCAACAUUUUCUUCAGAUCUUCUCCUUCCUUCUGAUGAAGUAGUUCCUAAUGGUAAAACAUAUGCUUCAGUAGUUGACAGUGAUGGAAAUCCAGUAAAAGCAGGUGCAAAAUACUUUGUGUUACCAUCUUUAAGGGGUAGUGGAGGUGGUCUUGUUUUGUCUAGAGUUGUUGACAAAAAUGUUAAAGUUUGUCCACAAGACAUUGUCCAAGAACCUCAGGAACUUAACACUGGACGUCCUGUGGAGUUCUUUCCAGCAUACCCUAAUAAAACUGGUGAAAUUAUUAAAGUUAACAACCCCAUAAAUGUUAACUUCUUUUCACUUAGUAAGACAUCACGUUGUGCUAAUUUUACUGUAUGGAAAAUGGACAAGAAAUAUAAAUAUGUGGUAGGUAGAGGGACUCUAGGGGCGCUGAAUCGCAUAAGGAAUUGGUUCAGGAUUGUGCCAUAUGGAAAGGGCUAUAGGUUUGUAUAUUGUCCUUCACUCUGUGUUCCUUGCAAAAUUAGGUGCUUUGACUUAUUCAUUUCUUAUGAGGAACGCGAAAAUGUUCAAGUUAGACGCUUGGCUGCCUCGGACAAUGAAUUGCCAUUUUCUGUUUACUUCAAGAAGGCUGAUUAAUCAUCCUCCCUAUUAUUAAUAUUAUUAUUAUUAU